Molecule: long non-coding RNA, 575 nt
Organism: Aethalodelphis obliquidens (Pacific white-sided dolphin)
Lineage: Eukaryota; Metazoa; Chordata; Mammalia; Artiodactyla; Delphinidae
Exons: 3
Source: RefSeq, a predicted model, not a curated record
CCUGCAUCAGCAGGCGGACUCUCAACCACUGCGCCACCAGGGAAGCCUGGACUUCUUCCCUUAAUAAAUGAAGAAUGGGAGACUCCAGGUGGCCUCAUGGUUGAGGUUUCAAGACGAGUGAAGAAAGAUAAAAGCAAAGUAAAAGAAGCUCAGGUUGAAUUACUCACUUUGACUUGAAUAUACUUCUGUGAGGAGUUACAUCAGCAUUAUGAUUGAAUAAGGCAUCUAGAAAUUUGAGGUGCCAUCUAUUGCUUCCCUGGUGUCCAGCAUAGAUAAAGAAAUGUGAUAUAUGACUGUGGGGCGACCAUACCAGGGUUAUGAGAGAACAGAAAUGUGUAAAGUGCCUGCAUGUGGCCAACACCAGAGAGAAGAAGUGAAAAAAGUAAAGGUAACUCAUAAAUAUUCUCAGCCAUUUUUUCAGCUAUGAACAUCUACCUAUGCACUGUGUACAUAACACCAAAUGUACAUCUUUUCUAUGCAUAUGCAUAACUCUGUUCUUGGUAUAACCGAAAACAAACCACUAGCUACAGAAAAACACACAUGAUUAUAUUUUACUUAUACCAAGGUUAAAAGUG